Molecule: non-coding RNA, 1473 nt
Organism: Ictidomys tridecemlineatus (thirteen-lined ground squirrel)
Lineage: Eukaryota; Metazoa; Chordata; Mammalia; Rodentia; Sciuridae
Source: RefSeq, a predicted model, not a curated record
UUCUCAGAUAAAGAAGAUGAAGCUUCCAUCUGUCUCUGUCAAUUCUGCUUCUUUUCAAGGAGACGACAAAGACAUCUUGGCCAUCUAGGUGUGAAGGGCAUACGUAUGAUGAUUUCUCUUGUGGAAUCUAGGAUAUGGGAAGACAGACAUGCCACCAGAAAAAGCACUGGGGCAAGGUAGAACGAUGAAUUCAGGUCCUUUGGUCACAGCAAUGAAAGAGCUGACUAAGAAAGACAUAUCCUUUUGGAGGCACAGAUUUUAACACGUAACAGUAAUAAUAUGAUUUAUUGACUAAGUCAGAAAUAUUUCAGAGGAUUCUUAUGUGGCUGGAUGUUUCACAACAUAUUACAAGAAUAAAUUUAAGUCUCCAGUUCUUCACAAGAAACAUCUAUAAGACAAACAACCUUAUCUAUAUUGUCUCAGCAUUCACUAUUAUGCUAAAGGAAACAGGGAAUGGUACUCUCACCUAUGUAUUGCAUAUGAUUCUGCUUAAUUUGUAAGAAUAACCUUAUAUGGUUGUUAAUAUUAUUUCAAUUUAUAUAUAAGAAAAAGUGAGAGGCUGAAUAAGUCACUUAAGACAGUAAAACUAGAAUGUAUCAGGACUUGGGCUUUCAAGUUGCAAAGGCCUGUAUUUAAUUCUCUGUACUAACAUUGUAUAGUUGGUCAAAUUAUCUAGAUUUACAUAGAAGAGAAAUGAAAGUUUAAAUAAAUUACUCAAAGUACCAUAACUUGAAUGUAGCAGGGUGUGGAUCAAGACAUCCAGGUCUGUCAAGUUGCAAAGGUUCCUUCCUCUUUCCAUGGAACUAUUUUUGUUGAAAUAUUGAGGAGUGGUGAUGAGACUAACCUAAGCUGCAUAAUAUAGACUUGUCCUCCUGUUUAUCUGGGAUUUCUUCAUCUGACUUGUUUAAACAUGAAUAUAACUAAAAUGUUUCACAAAUUUAUAGUGAGUUCAUAUGUAGUAUUGGUAUAGCAAAGGGAUUUGCAAAGCUCUUCUGUAAAGGGUCAGUUAAAAAAUAUUUUAUGCUCUGCAGGCGACAGUUUCUAUUCAGUUCUGCCACUGUAGCAUGACAGGAGUCAUAGAUAAUAUGUAAUCAAAUGAACAAGUUGAAUUUCAAUAAUAUUUUUGUGUGAACACUGACAUAUGAAUUUUAUAUAAUGCUCGUGUAUCAUUAAUAUUAUCUUUUUCUUAUGAUUUUUAAAAACUAUUUAUAUACAUAAAUGUUUAGCUUGUAGGUCAUUCAAAAAUAAGCAGCAGACUGGAUUGGCCCAUGGGUGACAGUUUUUCAGACUCUAGCAUAGUGGGAAGAACACUGGGUUAUGCAGGCCCUUAAUCCCUGCAAUUUAGUCUAUACAUCACCAAAAGUAUGUACUAAAAUCAGUCGAAUUAGAAUAAAUGAAUAUAAGACUGAAAGAUCAGACAAUUGACUUACUGAAUUUAUAUUUUGUUGUUACAAUAUAUUUAUAUUAUUUAGA